GCACAACCGAACCCAACACCGGGGCCCAACGGCAGGGGCUUGGGCAGGAGCAAGGUCCGAGGGCUGCCAGGUCCACGCUGCUUUUAUGAGCUGUAACACUCACCGCGAAGAUCUGCAGCUUCACUCCUGAGCCCAGCGAGACCACGAGCCCACCGGGAGGAACAAACAACUCCAGACGCGCUGCCUUAAGAGCUGUAACACUUGCCGUGAAGGUCUGCAGCUUCACUCCUGAGCCAGCGAGACCACGAACCCACCAGAAGGAAGAAACUCCGAACACAUCUCAACAUCAGAACGGACAGACUCCAGACGCACCACCUUAAGAGCUGUAACACUCACCGCGAGGUUCCGCGGCUUCAUUCUUGAAAGCUAUCAGCUUCCCAGUUUGCACAAUUCAUCAAGAAAUUAUGCGGGGUCACUGGCACAAAUGAUGAGGCAUCUCCUGGAAGCUUAACUUCUUAUCCAUCCCAUCUCUUGGACAGAUGAUGCCAGUUAAUUACUUUGAAUGGGUCUGUCACACGCAGCCCAACUCAACUGGAGUCCUGAGAAGGUGAACAGACCAGGAUGGAUGGCCAGGGAACUCACCAGAAGUCCCCAGGCAUCAGAACAAGGUCGAAGCAUCCUGCCAGGUGCUCACCUUCUAGCACAUUCUUCAAGAGUUACUCUGAGGCAAGCCAGCCGCCAUGUCAUGAGGACACUCAAGCAGCACCAUGGAGAGGUCCGAUGGCGAGGAACAGAGGAUCCCCCUGCCGACAGCCAAUGAGGAACAGGCCUCCUGCCAACAGCCGUGUAAGGGGUCACCUUGGAAGCCAAUGGCCCCUCCCUGGUCAGGCUUUUACAUGACUGCAGUCCUGGCCAACAUCCUGACGGCAACCUCAUGAGAGACCUUGAGCCAGAGCCACCCACCUAAGCUGCUUAUAGGUUCCUGGCCCUCAGAAAUCACAUGAGAUCAUAAAUGUUUGCUCAAUUUGAGAUAUUUGUGAUGUAGCAAUAAAUAACAAACACACUUACCUUUCAGGGUUAUUAUGAGAAUUAAGAGUUAAUACACAUCAAACUACAACCAAACUUGCUGGGACCAGAGGCUCAAGAAAGGGCAGACAGGGCCGGGUGCAGUGGCUCAUGCCUGUAAUCCCAAUACUUUGGGAGGCCGAGGCAGGUGGAUCAUCUGAGGUCAGGAGUUCGAGACCAGCUGGCCAACAUGGUGAAACCCUGUGUCUACUAAAAAUACAAAAAUUAGCCAGGCAUGGUGGCGGACACCUGUAAUCCCAGCUACUCGGG
This 1275-nucleotide long non-coding RNA is filed under the name Homo sapiens (human). Its description in RNAcentral is "novel transcript". Lineage: Eukaryota; Metazoa; Chordata; Mammalia; Primates; Hominidae. The record is from RNAcentral.